RNAcentral lists this ribosomal RNA (449 nucleotides) under uncultured organism. RNAcentral describes it as "partial 16S ribosomal RNA". It matches the Rfam family "Bacterial small subunit ribosomal RNA", at positions 331 to 797 of the family's 1533-position model. The record is from RNAcentral.
GUACACUCCUACGGGAGGCAGCAGUGGGGAAUAUUGGACAAUGGGCGCAAGCCUGAUCCAGCCAUGCCGCGUGAGUGAUGAAGGCCCUAGGGUUGUAAAGCUCUUUCACCGGUGAAGAUAAUGACGGUAACCGGAGAAGAAGCCCCGGCUAACUUCGUGCCAGCAGCCGCGGUAAUACGAAGGGGGCUAGCGUUGUUCGGAUUUACUGGGCGUAAAGCGCACGUAGGCGGACUAUUAAGUCAGGGGUGAAAUCCCGGGGCUCAACCCCGGAACUGCCUUUGAUACUGGUAGUCUUGAGUUCGAGAGAGGUGAGUGGAAUUCCGAGUGUAGAGGUGAAAUUCGUAGAUAUUCGGAGGAACACCAGUGGCGAAGGCGGCUCACUGGCUCGAUACUGACGCUGAGGUGCGAAAGCGUGGGGAGCAAACAGGAUUAGAAACCCUGGUAGUCCC